AGGCUUCGGUCCCGGGUGACUGCUCCUCCCCAGCCCACACCGACAGCCCUUGCUGCCUCACCACCUCCAGCCAGGAAGGGGUUGGGCUAAUGCUACACCCACCGACACUUCCCUGGAAUACACACCCUUGCCAACUGUACCGCACCUGCAGGCCAGAUUCUGACAUCAUUCCCACCUGUUCUGUAUCAGGAGCGGCAGUCCCUAAGCUGAGCUACUGCUAAGGACAUACCCAGCCCUGAAGAGCAUGGACCCAGCUGAGAUUACAUACUGUGCUGGUCCCCAGCUGCUUAUGGACUGGGACAUCUUCAGAAGUUUCUCCGCAAACUGCCCAGGUGGCUUCUUAUUCAAGAGUGUUGGCAGUUGAUAUGCCCCGGACCCUGGACCAAUAACACGCUUGGACCUUAUGGGGCCAAAAAGCAGUCAGGAGAGACUGGGAUCAAAUUUGUGUUCUGGAGUUGCAAACUCAGGUGCCUGUGGGAGCCAGGAGUAAUCUGAUCUGGGAAGACAAGAAAUGAGUGGCUGAGGCAUGCUCCAACUCAAGGGGUCCCAUAGGUGGAACUAUGGGAGCAUCACAACCAGCUAGGCCUUCACAUUAUCCAAUAAAAGCAAAAACACUUGAAGUUUUCAACAAA
Long non-coding RNA from Meriones unguiculatus (Mongolian gerbil), 632 nucleotides. RefSeq lists it as uncharacterized. NCBI's taxonomy places the organism in Eukaryota, Metazoa, Chordata, Mammalia, Rodentia, Muridae. The transcript is spliced from 2 exons. The record is from RefSeq and is a predicted model, not a curated record.